RNAcentral lists this small RNA (87 nucleotides) under Mannheimia haemolytica. Its description in RNAcentral is "isrK". The record is from RNAcentral. Lineage: Bacteria; Pseudomonadati; Pseudomonadota; Gammaproteobacteria; Pasteurellales; Pasteurellaceae.
GCAGUCGCAAAAUCGGCUGCCGAGCCUGAGAACUCGAACAAUAGACACACGGCGAACAGUAGCACGCCUUUAAUUCGUGCUUUUUUU